AUCAAAACUUUCAACAACGGAUCUCUUGGUUCUGGCAUCGAUGAAGAACGCAGCGAAAUGCGAUAAGUAAUGUGAAUUGCAGAAUUCAGUGAAUCAUCGAAUCUUUGAACGCACAUUGCGCCCGCCAGUAUUCUGGCGGGCAUGCCUGUCCGAGCGUC
This 158-nucleotide ribosomal RNA is filed under the name Trichoderma harzianum. RNAcentral's name for it is "5.8S ribosomal RNA". It matches the Rfam family "5.8S ribosomal RNA". Rfam says of the family: 5.8S ribosomal RNA (5.8S rRNA) is a component of the large subunit of the eukaryotic ribosome. It is transcribed by RNA polymerase I as part of the 45S precursor that also contains 18S and 28S rRNA. The record is from RNAcentral. Lineage: Eukaryota; Fungi; Ascomycota; Sordariomycetes; Hypocreales; Hypocreaceae. RNAcentral also lists the same sequence under 1 other name.